CAUUUAACAAAGUGAACUUUGUACCAACACUUAUAAUUUUAAGUGUAAUAUGGAUAUUGAAGGAAAUUUUGUUGUCAUGUUCUUUCUGAAUAUUCAUUGCAUCUAUUACCUUUCUAGUAAUUCUGUUUCUGAGUGAAAUUGUUGAAUAUAAGAAAGCCUGCCAUGAACUACUUUCUCUCCUUCUCCAAAGCCAGAAAUGAAUAUUUUAAAAAUCCAUUGGAGACUCUUGGCUGGGAAUAGGGUUACAGAAUAUAUUUUAUUCCAAGUUUUGAAAAGCAAGAUAGAAUUUCCACCUUUCCAGUCUUUUAACCUCUGACUUGUUCUCCCUGAUUUCCCCAAGAAUCCCCCUGAGUUUCACUUUUGGAGUGUUUGAGUCCUCCCAGAACAUCUGGGUAUAAUCCUCCCAGGCAAGACGUGAAUUCAUUUGGAGUAGGUGGUGCUUCUUUUUUAGAAAUGCUACUCCCUCUGGGCUUCCAUUGCACCUUCCUCAGGUUCAAGUCAGAAUCAUUGUUAGGCUGAAGAUUCAGGGCAGCUUCUAUCUGCUUGUCCCAAGGACAUUUAAAAGAUAGCUUAUGUUGUCUUUGGUAUUGUUAAUUAACCUUUGCUCAUUUAGACCUUCAGUUUCCCAUCCAAAUAACUACUUCUUUUGAAUACUGGUUUGACUCCUUGUAAACUUUCUCUCUUUUAGGGUAGACAUGGGCCUCUGGGGAUCUUAGUGUUACUUAGAAGCCACAUACUGGGUUCUGAAGAUCUUAAGGCCCUUGUGGAGUAUUUCUUUAGUUUAUGUUGAGUCGGAGUUUUCUGUCAGCCACCUGUGUGCAGAUGCUCAGUAAGCACAAUAUUUGAUAGGCAUAUUUCAAUAUUAUAUAUC
RNAcentral lists this long non-coding RNA (871 nucleotides) under Marmota monax (woodchuck). The record is from RNAcentral. Lineage: Eukaryota; Metazoa; Chordata; Mammalia; Rodentia; Sciuridae.